GCACUAUAUAUACAUAUCAAAGGGACUCUUGUUAUACAUCUUAGUUUCCAAUGUUUAUCUUCAUUGCGUUUAUGCCCAAUCAUUGUAGGUCUCGCAAGUGGAUAGGAUUGAAUGUGAAGCGUAGCCAAGGAUGACUUGCCGCUAUAUCUCUUCUCUUCAUUCACCAUUUUCACAGAAAAUUAAAGAAUGAGAAUAGAGAAAACAUCAAAAGUACCAUAAAGGAUAUGGUGAAGCGGAUGGAGUUGCUCCUCCCUUAGCCAGAGGUAUGGAGUUCGAGUCUUGGUCAUGAAAAAAUCCUUGGUAGGGAGCGCUUCCCCCUGAAUGGCCCUACACAGCGUGAAUCCAAAUAUAGUCGGGCUCCAAUACGGGUACCGGCCGGGUGGAACCGAAAAAAGAGGAAAAAAAAACAUCAAAAGUAGAAAAGAAAAUGGACUUCAUAAUUAUUUGAGAAAAUCGGCAAGUUAUCUUUGGCUAGGGUUUCUUUCUCAUAUUCACAUGUUGGAUCUACGAUGAAUAUGAGGAGUACGGCUCGAUCAGGCCUUACUCACUCAACAAGGACAGAAACUUCACUCACGGAGGAAAGAAAAUCAGAAUAUGUGAAAUCAUCAAUUGUUCUAAUACUCUGAUCAAGGAUGGCUUCUGAUCCUAUGUUGAGAAAUUUCUUGAUUUUCCACAAAGGGUCAAUGAAUCUUAGUGUCACAAUGACAUUUGCAGCAUCAAAUGCCUUUGCAAAGCUAUUUUCUGGUAAAUUUGGAUCCAAUGUUCCUAUCUCUACACCAAAUCCCACCUUACAUAUUGAGUCCAGAGUCAUCCUCAUCAAGAGAUCCUGAAAAAAAAAAGAUUUGAUUAGCAACAAUACAAAAAUAAACCAGCUAGAAAGUUCUAAUAUCUCUGUCCCAUUUUACAUGACACGGUUUUCUUUUUAGAGCCUAUUUGGAUUAGCUGAUUCUAAAUUCCUAAUAAGCAAAUUUAAGUGCUGAAAUUAAUUUUAUAAACAAACAAUAUUACUUGUUUAGAUAAAAAUGACACUUGAUGUUUUAGGUAAAAUGUUCUUAUAGAAUAAUUUAUACAUUUAGUCAAAUACCCUCUAAAUUUGAAAGAAUUCAAACAUUUUUUACUUUAAGAACGACAUCUUCUUUUUUGAAAAAAAAUCCACUUUAAUCUUUCAAUUCUAUCCUUAAUUACAUAACGUAUAACCACACAAAUAUUUGUGUAUAUGUUUUAGAUUAUAAAUUUUAAAAGUUUUUCUUUCUUUCUUAAACUCCAUAUCCAGUCAAACACUAUUAUAUAUAAAAAAGAGACGAAGGGAGUAUCUUAAUCAUUGUAUUUCAUGUCUAAGCAGAAUUCAGCAACUCACCUGCAUGUCUACUUGCUCAUUCUUGAAAGAUGCUUGAUUUAGAAUCUUAAAGAGUUUAAGACUAUAGUCCCUGAAAACUACAGUAUUGAAAUCCCUUAAAUUCUUUGAAGCAAACUCAAAGCUAGCAGUCUUCCUUUGUUUCCUCCAAAGCUCACCAUCCACAUUAAAGAUGCCAUCUCCAAGCAACACUUCCAUAUAUGAAUGAUACACUUCACCCUGUGCCAAAGCAAAAAUCAACCAUUCAUUCUCAUGCAUGCUAGACUAAAACCAUAUGUCAGCUGAAAGAAAAUAAGAUUUUCAUAUAGUGAAUAUAGAAAAAAAUCACGCGCCUAUUGUUUUGGGGAAAAAUUACAUCUCAAUACCUUUUGGGUGAUCUAGUUUACAAAAUAGCCAACAACGUAUAGAUUUUGUAAUAUUUUUACUUAAAUAUACAUAAACUUUACAUAUAAUAGGCAUAUACUACACUUAUAAUAUACGUAUACCAUACUUAUAAUAUACAUAUUAGUUUAUAGAUUUUGUAUAUUUGGGCUACUGCCGGUAAUUAAGGUUGGCUGAAGAUGCAUAUGCAUAACUUUCCCUUUUUUUUUCCCUUUUUUUUUAAAAAAAUGAAAAGCAAGAGAGUACAAGUAUAAGCUGAAUAGGUUGAUGAGUAGCCUUGGAGCCGAGAAAGAAAGUAGACUCAACAUGCUAAGGAGUAGGCCUGGAGCAAGACAAAGACGAGAGAAGCCCAAAGCAGCUUAAUUGGUUGAGUUCAGAGAGAAGCCAAGAGCAAUACAUAUAGGGGGCUUCUUACGUACAUAUACCGUCGGCCGAACUUAAUUACUGGCAUUAGUCCAAAUAUACACAAUCUAUACACUAAUAUGUAUAUUACACGUAUGGUAUAUGUAUAUUUAUAGUAUAAAUAUACAAAAUCUAUAUAUUUGUUGGA
Long non-coding RNA from Lycium barbarum (goji berry), 2285 nucleotides. RefSeq lists it as uncharacterized. The transcript has 2 exons. The record is from RefSeq and is a predicted model, not a curated record. NCBI's taxonomy places the organism in Eukaryota, Viridiplantae, Streptophyta, Magnoliopsida, Solanales, Solanaceae.